UUCCGGUUGAUCCUGCCGGAGGGAACCCCUAUCGGGUUCAGACUAAGCCAUGCGAGUCGGCUGGGGGCACUUGCCCCUGGCGGCGCACGGCUCAGUAAUACGCGGUCAACCUACCCUGGGGACCGGGAUAACCUCGGGAAACUGAGGCUAAUCCCGGAUGGGUGUAGGGUGCUGAAAUGCCCCUACGCCGAAAGUAGGCGGGAAAUGGACCGCUGAGGCCCCAGGAUGGGACCGCGGCCUAUCAGGUAGUAGGUGGGGUAACGGCCCACCUAGCCUACGACGGGUACGGGCCCUGAGAGGGGGAGCCCGGAGAUGGGCACUGAGACAAGGGUCUAGGCCCUAAGGGGCGCAGCAGGCGCGAAGAUUCCGCAAUGCCCGAAAGGGCGACGGAGUGAACCCGAGUGCCACCCGCUGAGGGUGGCUGUUCCCCUGUGUAAAAAGCAGGGGGUAGGAAGGGGAGGGCAAGGCUGGUGGCAGCCGCCGCGGUAAAACCAGCUCCCCGAGGGGUUCCCACGCAUACUGGGCCUAAAGCGUCCGUAGCCGGCCCUGUAAGUCCGCAGUUAAAUCCGCCUGUAGACAGGCGGGCUGCUGCGGAUACUGCAGGGCUAGGGAGCGGGAGGAGCCGGGGGUAUUCCCGGGGGAGCGGUAAAAUGCGUAGAUCCCGGGAGGACCACCAGUGGCGAAGGCGCCCGGCUUGAACGCGUCCGACGGUGAGGGACGAAAGCUGGGGGAAGCAAACCGGAUUA
Molecule: ribosomal RNA, 746 nt
Filed under: uncultured archaeon
Lineage: Archaea
Description: bacterial SSU rRNA
Rfam family: Archaeal small subunit ribosomal RNA
Source: RNAcentral